Molecule: ribosomal RNA, 465 nt
Filed under: uncultured bacterium
Lineage: Bacteria
Description: partial 16S ribosomal RNA
Rfam family: Bacterial small subunit ribosomal RNA
Source: RNAcentral
GACGAACGCUGGCGGCGUGCUUAACACAUGCAAGUCGAACGGAAAGGCCCCUUCGGGGGUACUCGAGUGGCGAACAGGUGAGUAACACGUGAGUAACCUGCCCUUGACUUCGGGAUAACUUCAGGAAACUGGGGCUAAUACCGGAUAGGAAUCCUUGCUGCAUGGUGGGGGUUGGAAAGCUUCGGCGGUUUUGGAUGGACUCGCGGCUUAUCAGCUUGUUGGUGGGGUAGUGGCUUACCAAGGCUUUGACGGGUAGCCGGCCUGAGAGGGCGACCGGCCACAUUGGGACUGAGAUACGGCCCAGACUCCUACGGGAGGCAGCGGUGGGGAAUAUUGCACAAUGGGCGGAAGCCUGAUGCAGCAACGCCGCGUGCGGGAUGACGGCCUUCGGGUUGUAAACCGCUUUCAGCAGGGGCGAAGCUUGUGGUGACGGUACCUGCAGAAGAAGCACCGGCUAACUACGUG